UACGAAGGGGGCUAGCGUUGCUCGGAAUCACUGGGCGUAAAGCGCACGUAGGCGGCUUUGCAAGUUAGAGGUGAAAGCCCAGGGCUCAACCCUGGAAUUGCCUUUAAAACUGCAUCGCUAGAAUUGUGGAGAGGUAAGUGGAAUUCCGAGUGUAGAGGUGAAAUUCGUAGAUAUUCGGAAGAACACCAGUGGCGAAGGCGACUUACUGGACACAUAUUGACGCUGAGGUGCGAAAGCGUGGGGAGCAAACAGG
RNAcentral lists this ribosomal RNA (253 nucleotides) under uncultured bacterium. RNAcentral describes it as "partial 16S ribosomal RNA". It matches the Rfam family "Bacterial small subunit ribosomal RNA", at positions 524 to 776 of the family's 1533-position model. The record is from RNAcentral.